AAUGGGACUAAGCGCACAAAAACUGUGCAGCAGCCUUGCCUUUACCUGAAGAUAUUGCAGGAAAAUCUGAUUUCUCUGUUAAAAUAAGAAAAUGCUGAAGCAAGUGACAUGAAAAAGCACACAUUAUUGCAUAGACAUGAAAACAGGGAAGGAAAAUAUUAGCUCAUAUAGUGGAUCUUGUAGAGCUGUUUGCCAGUGGUUUCCUUCUCUUUUCUUGAGCACCUGACUCAUCUGUAAGUACAAAGUUGAUUACUGUCUUUAUAUGGACAAGCCUCAGAUCAAUCUCUCUGUUCCAGAUCCAUCUGCUUGUGUCCAAAUGAAAUCUCAGCCUGGCUGUCUUGCAUUUCCUCUUGAUGUGUCAUCCUCAGCUCCAGUUCAAGGAAGAAAAAACUCAGCUGUUCAUUCUUCAUCACAACACUUAGCUGUUAAUCAACAAUCUCUCCCUCUUUUGGAGCAGCUCUGCUGUUCUUGUUUAUGUCCAGAGACCCACGAGGCAUAUUUUCAUCCCAUUUGCGCAAAUGAAGGUAAAUCACAGCUGCUAAGAAAAGGUGAGUUAAUUCUGAAUAUGAUCACCAGUAUAGGCAAUGCAAACUGAGAUAUAGUGGCAAGGCAGACAGGAGAAAUGACAAGUAUGGCAACUCACAGUCAUCUUUUUUUAGUCAUAUUUCAAAGAUUUCUGCCACCGUGAACCUGAAAGGAAACAUCUAUCAUUCCUAAAACUUUGUAUAAAGGUCUGGUCAUGAUGUCAGAAAUGUGUGGGUGUUUCAGGGAACCAACACAAUUCAAAGGACAGACAUUAAAAUACGUUUUUAACUAUGUGGGACCUGCUUCCCCACUCCCAUAUGUUUCAUAGAUCAAUAUUAGCUCCUCUGCAGUCAAUAAUGCUCACUGAUGUAAAACUGCUGUGUGCAUGUUCUUAAUGAUUCAUAGUUUUGAAGCCUAGCCAGUUCUAUAAUUCAACCCUCGCAAAGGCAAACAACCUCCUGCCAAUCUGCCCUUUAUUCUCCCAUCCUGUUAUUUGUUAGGCAUCUGUAGCCCAUUAACUGGCUUACUAUGGUAUUAGUAUGUGGUAUAAUUAUUCAUAGUCAGAUCUGCUGAUAAGAAAUCGAAUGCUCUGGUAAACAACUGACUGCUUUUUUUCCAUGACAUCAACAAUGAAGUUAAAUGGGGCACUGGAAAAAAGAUAAUUCCCAGGAUCAUGUUAAAAGAUUACGUAGUUCUGUAGCAGAAGGGAAAAUCUGUAUCCAGAGCACACAUUAGGAAUGUUCUCUGUCAUUUCCAGCAGACGCACAACAGUGUGUCUUCUGCUCUCACCAGGGACAUAUGAAUACACGUGGCUGAUGAGUACAUAUUGGGUCUGUCAGACUUAUAGAAGCAGGUGGGACUUCAUUCGGCUUUUCUGUGUGAUCACUGAUAUAUGGGGUUGCAAAAUGUAACUGCAAAAUUAAUAUCCAGUAUACAAUACAAAUGUUAAUCUCACCCACAGGGCACACAUAGUAGCAGUGAUAGAAAUACAUGCACGCACCUGAUCCAUGGGGACUUCUAUUCACCCUUGUCCUCUGUGCUGCUAUAGGCCCACAUCUGCCCAGGUCAGCACCUGGGACUCUGAACUGGUGGUUACACCUCCAGGGGUGGUCACAGGGCUGGCCAUAGAGGGAACCUACUUAAGCUCACCAUCUUCUGAAUAAAACCAGUUCCUCAGGUUACA
This 1708-nucleotide long non-coding RNA is filed under the name Coturnix japonica (Japanese quail). Its description in RNAcentral is "lncRNA (ENSCJPG00005014769.1)". The record is from RNAcentral. Lineage: Eukaryota; Metazoa; Chordata; Aves; Galliformes; Phasianidae.